RNAcentral lists this unclassified non-coding RNA (260 nucleotides) under Byssonectria deformis. RNAcentral's name for it is "partial internal transcribed spacer region". The stretch from base 1 to 46 matches the Rfam family "Eukaryotic small subunit ribosomal RNA", at positions 1786 to 1831 of the family's 1831-position model. The record is from RNAcentral. Lineage: Eukaryota; Fungi; Ascomycota; Pezizomycetes; Pezizales; Pyronemataceae.
AAGUCGUAACAAGGUUUCCGUAGGUGAACCUGCGGAAGGAUCAUUAAAAGAUAUAGCAUAUUCUUCUGAAUAUACUUUAUUAACCCAUUCCGAGUACCUUACCCGUUGCUUCCGCGAGGCUGUCCUCACGGCCCUCUGAAGAUUUAUCUUUGGGGAGUCCUUGCGGAAGGUAUACAAUAAACUCUUGCACUACCAUGUCAUCUGUCUGAAUCUGUUUAAAACAAAUAUUAAAACUUUCAACAACGGAUCUCUUGGUUCUC